CAUCAGGAAGAAAUAAGAUCC
Molecule: non-coding RNA, 21 nt
Filed under: Caenorhabditis elegans
Lineage: Eukaryota; Metazoa; Nematoda; Chromadorea; Rhabditida; Rhabditidae
Source: RNAcentral